UUCCCCUUCGGGGGACAAAGUGACAGGUGGUGCAUGGUUGUCGUCAGCUCGUGUCGUGAGAUGUUGGGUUAAGUCCCGCAACGAGCGCAACCCUUAAGCUUAGUUGCCAUCAUUAAGUUGGGCACUCUAAGUUGACUGCCGGUGACAAACCGGAGGAAGGUGGGGAUGACGUCAAAUCAUCAUGCCCCUUAUGAUUUGGGCUACACACGUGCUACAAUGGACAAUACAAAGGGCAGCGAAACCGCGAGGUCAAGCAAAUCCCAUAAAGUUGUUCUCAGUUCGGAUUGUAGUCUGCAACUCGACUACAUGAAGCUGGAAUCGCUAGUAAUCGUAGAUCAGCAUGCUACGGUGAAUACGUUCCCGGGUCUUG
Molecule: ribosomal RNA, 370 nt
Filed under: Staphylococcus aureus
Lineage: Bacteria; Bacillati; Bacillota; Bacilli; Caryophanales; Staphylococcaceae
Description: bacterial SSU rRNA
Rfam family: Bacterial small subunit ribosomal RNA
Source: RNAcentral